Molecule: RNA transcript, 961 nt
Organism: Cebus imitator (Panamanian white-faced capuchin)
Lineage: Eukaryota; Metazoa; Chordata; Mammalia; Primates; Cebidae
Gene name: oxidoreductase HTATIP2-like
Exons: 3
Source: RefSeq, a predicted model, not a curated record
AUGGGAACAGCACAACAGUACCACAGCGAAUCAAAGUAUGAUAGUGCCCCGCGGCAGCUGGUGGCCGCCCUGCUCCUGCUGCGGCAUGAGGACCCGGGGCCGGGGGCUGGCCCUAGCAAGGCCGAAACAGAAGCACUAUCGAAGCUUUGAAAAGACUUCAGGAUGCAGAAAAAACCCGUCUUUGUUUUGGGCACCAGCAGAGAAACCGGCAGAGUGCUCUUAAAGGAAAUCCUGGAGCAGGCCCUGUUUUCCAAAGUCACGCUUAUUGGCAGGAGGAAGCUCACCUUCGAGGAGGAACCUUAUAAAAAUGUGAAUCAAGAAGUGGUGGACUUUGAAAAGUUGGAUGACUAUGCUUCUGCCUUUCAAGGUCAUGAUGUUGGAUUCUGUUGCCUGGGUACCACCAGAGCGAAAGCCGGGGUGGUGGGAUUUGUUCGGGUUGACCGAGAUUAUGUGCUUAGGUCUGCAGAGCUGGCAAAACCUGGAGGGUGCAAACAUUUCAGCUUGCUAUCCUCUAAAAGAGCUGAUAAGUCAAGCAGUUUUUUAUAUCUGCAAGUUAAGGGAGAAGUGGAAGCCAAGGCUGAAGAAUUAAAAUUUGAACGUUACUCUGUAUUUAGGCCUGGAGCUCUGUUAUGUGAUAGGCAAGAAUCUCACCCAGGUGAAUGGUUCGUUAGAAAGUUCUUUGGCUCCUUAGUUCUUGGGCUAGUGGGCAUUCUGUGCCUGUGGCGACUGUGGUUAGAGCAAUGCUGAACAAUGCAGUGACACCACGCGACAAGAAGAUGGAACUGCUGGAGAACAAGGCCAUCCACGAUCUGGGGAAAGCGGAUGGCUCUCUCAAGCCGUGACCACACUGGAGCAUCCAUUCCAAUCAAGAAAUGACGGUGCUCUGCAUCAGUGGUUCAGAGCCUGUUAUACAUAUAGAUCACCCAGGGAGCUUUGGAAAAAUAAAGAUUUGUAAUCCCUA